CUAAUUUAUUUAAUUAUAUGCAUGCUUAGAUUGAUCCAGAAUUCACAUUUAUAUAUGGUGUUUCUCUCAAGCCUUUUUUACCUUUUCUUUUACUAUUUGUGAUCCGAGAUUCCGAAGAUGAUUCCAUGUAAGUGUCAGUUGUUAAGUGAAGUAUUUUUCCGUUAUCCCUGUUUUAAUUAAGGGUUUUUAGUUUUUAUCUAUAUAAUAUGCAGAAGACAGACUGCUACAUGUAAAAGCGGAGGUUAUGCCAAUGAUUCAAAGGUUUGUUUUUAAUUCUCAGUUUAAGUAUUGAGCUUCUACUUUUCUCGUUACUGAAUAGUUUGAGUUUUUUCUCUUUUCCAUGUCUGUUUAUAGAGUGGUGUCAAGAAUUUGGAGAAGGGAAAAAAGUAAUCCUAUGUUUGUAUUCUUAAAGCUUGGUGCAUGUUGCAGUGAGUUCCAGAGUUGAAAGAAAAGUUUUGGUUGAUAUUGGCAAUGGGAACUGCAUAUUUUCAAAAACUGAACAGGGAAAAAGCUCUAUAUCUGGGUAAGUAAUUAAGAUUUUUCAGCAUCCCGACAUGAUUCUUUACAUGUUGGAUAUUUCUCUCGUUAUGGUUUGAAGGUGUAUUUAAUGAAAACCUGUUAUAUAUAAAUGGCUAUUGUCAGUAAUUCGAACAAUUUUCAAGUGCUCUGUGAAAUGCAUUGAUGUAAUUAGUUUUGUACUUUUACGCAUUGAUGUAAUUAGUUUUGUACUUUUACCUUCUAUCUCAGACAGAGAAGAAAUCUUAGAAUUUGAUCAUCUAGUUUCCCAGUCUAAUGCAUCCCAUUAUUGCAGGAAAGGAAAAAGUGAUAAGGUGUUAUAUUACAUCAAGAGGAACCCCUAUCUUGUUUUUCAGUUUAACAAAGAGGAAGAUGAUAAAAUGACAACUGCAAAUGUUGCUGCUGUUCGAUCUGAUAUUAGAGCGGGUUAUA
RNAcentral lists this long non-coding RNA (948 nucleotides) under Salvia miltiorrhiza (redroot sage). Its description in RNAcentral is "long non-coding RNA (SMIL_LNC006692)". Lineage: Eukaryota; Viridiplantae; Streptophyta; Magnoliopsida; Lamiales; Lamiaceae. The record is from RNAcentral.